RNAcentral lists this long non-coding RNA (727 nucleotides) under Homo sapiens (human). RNAcentral's name for it is "HSALNT0150129". Lineage: Eukaryota; Metazoa; Chordata; Mammalia; Primates; Hominidae. The record is from RNAcentral.
AUAAAGCUGAUUAGGGGAGAGUGAAAUAACACUGGAAUGCUCUUUCAUGAUUCAGGAUUAAAUGUUCUAGCAAGGAAACAUGAAGCUGGUCCAACGUGCUGCUGGGAUGGCUCCUUGAAGCUUGAACAUGAUGACCUUCAGCAAAGGAGGUGGAGAUGUACAGAGGAGGAGACCGUUAGUUCCCUGAGUGAAGAGAUGCUAUCUUGGUAUCUCCAGCUUCCAACCGGGGGCUUGGCACAGAAUAGGGGCUUGGUAAAUGUUUUCCAAAUGAAUGGGAUGUCUGAUGGAAAGAAGACAAGGUGAAGGAAUUCCUGGGUAAUAUGGAGAUGAGAAUCUGUGAGAAGGUAAGAAUAUUGAGAAUAUCGAGAACACUUCAAUAUUCCAAACUUCAAUGGAAAUAUACGAACUGGAGUACACUCUUCUUCUGCCCUUGGACAUCAGGCUCUCUGGCCUUUGGACUCCAGGACUUAUACCAGCGCCCCUCUGGGUUCUCAGGCCUCUGUACUUGAACUGAGCCACACUGCCAGCAUGCCAGCUUCUCCAGCUUGCCAGGCCUGCUGUGGGACUUCUCAGCCUCCAUAAUCAUGUGUGCCAAUUCCCCUAAUAAAUCUCCUCUCAUCUGUCCACGUAUCUAUAUUUGCAUUCUGUUGGUUCUGUCUCUCUAGAAAAGUAUUACUAAUACACAGGUAGAGGAAGUCCCCAAGAAGAAUACUGAACUGACACCAAU